CCUUACCAGGUCUUGACAUCCCGAUGCUAUUUCUAGAGAUAGAAAGUACUUCGGUACAUCGGUUGACAGGUGGUGCAUGGUUGUCGUCAGCUCGUGUCGUGAGAUGUUGGGUUAAGUCCCGCAACGAGCGCAACCCCUAUUGUUAGUUGCCAUCAUUCAGUUGGGCACUCUAGCGAGACUGCCGGUAAUAAACCGGAGGAAGUGGGGAUGACGUCAAAUCAUCAUGCCCCUUAUGACCUGGGCUACACACGUGCUACAAUGGUUGGUACAACGAGUUGCGAGUCGGUGACGGCGAGCUAAUCUCUUAAAGCCAAUCUCAGUUCGGAUUGUAGGCUGCAACUCGCCUACAUGAAGUCGGAAUCGCUAGUAAUCGCGGAUCAGCACGCCGCGGUGAAUACGGUUCCCGGGCCUU
RNAcentral lists this ribosomal RNA (412 nucleotides) under uncultured Streptococcus sp. Its description in RNAcentral is "bacterial SSU rRNA". It matches the Rfam family "Bacterial small subunit ribosomal RNA", at positions 969 to 1382 of the family's 1533-position model. The record is from RNAcentral. Lineage: Bacteria; Bacillati; Bacillota; Bacilli; Lactobacillales; Streptococcaceae.